GGCGACCGCGACAGCCUGGGAGUGGUACUCAUCCAGAUGUUCAAUUUUUCCCCAGAGAUCCUGAUUGUAUAUAGGCACCUGAUGGAGCAUCAGAUCCUUUCAUGCACUGAAGUUUUGAUUUUCUCAGAACAUGCCUAACAGUUACAGGUAGUUUAUAAAUAUAAUCGUUGUUUGAUAGAUCAGUUAAUGGCCUGUAACUUGAUGUUUGUACAAGCUACUGUUAUGGUUUGACUUUUUAUGGUUAGUUUAUAGAUGAAAUAGAUGUUUGAGCGAUUCAGUCAAGAACUGUAACCUGAUGUGCGUAUGAGCUCUCUCUUUGUUUUUCCUUGUUUUUUUCAUUUCCUCCUGGGGGGUUCGUUAAAUUGUCUCCAAGCAAAUCUCUUAUCUUUUUUUUUUUUUGCUGCAAUCCUUGAGUCAAUGACUGAUAUACAUGCUUAUAAUUUUCAAGGCUCAAAAGAGUUAGGAUGCAUAAAUACAUAAGAUUGCAAUGAAUUAGAGACUGGUAGAAUUGAUAAGAACAAGGAUAGUAGCUA
This 533-nucleotide long non-coding RNA is filed under the name Phoenix dactylifera (date palm). RNAcentral's name for it is "long non-coding RNA (PDAC_LNC021239)". Lineage: Eukaryota; Viridiplantae; Streptophyta; Magnoliopsida; Arecales; Arecaceae. The record is from RNAcentral.